GCAUUCCAAAAAAGAGCUAAACCACCAGCUAAUCCAACAGGGGUGACUAGCUUGUGAUGCAAAAAAACCCGAAGACCUUUUCAACCGAAGGAGAACUUCAUCAGCAUUUUUCGUCUCCAUCAAAAAUAAGAGGGCCAGCCACCGUCGCCCGGAAUACUUCUUCAGACGCCUCCAAAAUUGGCGUGUCCAACAAAAGCGAGUCAUCAUAGCCCCCCGAAUAUCCUUCUGGGAUUAAAGCAGUGGUUAAGGUUCGUGGCUCGGUGGGAGGUAUGGUUGAUGAAUCAGUUGUGUUCUGAUUUGAGAAGGGAAUGACAGGGUGUGGUUGGGUGGUUGUUACUGGAAUUGGUGGUAAAAGAAGAGGAAGAGGACGAAUCUCGGAGGGAGGAGUUUCAGCUUUUAGCCAGGGGCCGUAAGGAGUAGAGUCGGAUUCAUGGAUCAUUUUCUCCUCAAACGGAAUAGAAGGACAGGAAUUAGUAUAAUGGCCCAGACGUCCACAAGAAUAGCAGUAAUGAGAUAAAUCCAGUUCAACACGAGCACGGCAAGCCUUCAGGGCUGAACCAGAGGCAAACUCAGAUUUUACAUGCAGAACAGAGCCUACUGAACUAACAGCUUUGCGUAUCAUAUCAUCAGUACAACAUUCCAGAGGUAAUCCUAUGACCUGAACCCAAAAUGCACAGGUAGCAAAGUCGUAACAGUGAAGAGGGGUAUUAGCUAUCCAUGGUUUGAUAUUCAUUAGAUGGCCUGAAAAUUGCCAAGGACCUGUGUCCAGAAUUCUCUGUUUUUCAGCUUGCGAUUUGAAUUUGGCUAAAUAAAUACCAUCUUCUCUCUGAGUGAUGUCCACUUGGUCCAACCACCAUGCCCUCUUCAAGACAGACUGAAAAGCUUGGAAAUUAAAGGAAGGGUUGGAGUGGACUUUACCAACCAGCAGUAACUUGCAUUCCUCAACGGCACCAGAUGCAUCAGGAUCUUCGUCUGUGGCCAUCGGCGAAGAAAGAGGGUCGACUUAACCGAUGAAGGUCUGUGACAUCAAAGUUAUCGACAUGUAGAUGAAAGAGGGUCGACUUAACCGAUGAAAGUCUGUGGCAUCAAAAUUAUCGACAUGCAGAUGAAAAGGAGGGAAGAUUUCGGGAAAACAGAAACCCUCUAAAUAGGAAAAGGAAGAUGACUAGCGAGGUCUGGGUGUGAAGACGAUGGCAAAGUACUUAGAGAUUGCCAUUCGCAGUUCCGUAGAGAGUGGGUGAAGAUUGUGGAGAAGGAGCUAAGAAGGAACGAAGAAGAAGGAACUCUAUCCUGCCGAUAGAGAAGAACUCGACAAACGACGAGAGGAUC
Eucalyptus grandis is the source of this 1329-nucleotide long non-coding RNA. RefSeq lists it as uncharacterized. The record is from RefSeq and is a predicted model, not a curated record. NCBI's taxonomy places the organism in Eukaryota, Viridiplantae, Streptophyta, Magnoliopsida, Myrtales, Myrtaceae. The transcript has 6 exons.